UACGUAGGGUGCAAGCGUUAAUCGGAAUUACUGGGCGUAAAGCGUGCGCAGGCGGUUAUGUAAGACAGAUGUGAAAUGCCCGGGCUUAACCUGGGAACUGCAUUUGUGACUGCAUGGCUAGAGUUUGGUAGAGGGGGGUAGAAUUCCACGUGUAGCAGUGAAAUGCGUAGAUAUGUGGAGGAACACCGAUGGCGAAGGCAGCCCCCUGGGUCAAGACUGACGCUCAUGCACGAAAGCGUGGGGAGCAAACAGG
This 253-nucleotide ribosomal RNA is filed under the name uncultured bacterium. RNAcentral's name for it is "partial 16S ribosomal RNA". It matches the Rfam family "Bacterial small subunit ribosomal RNA", at positions 524 to 776 of the family's 1533-position model. The record is from RNAcentral.